Mauremys reevesii (Reeves's turtle) is the source of this 1924-nucleotide long non-coding RNA. RefSeq lists it as uncharacterized. The transcript is spliced from 2 exons. The record is from RefSeq and is a predicted model, not a curated record. Lineage: Eukaryota; Metazoa; Chordata; Testudines; Geoemydidae.
AGAUCCACAGGUUAACUUUGUGUUGUGUGAAGUUGUGAUGAGGUGUACUAGCCUUUUGAGGCCCCCUGCUGAAGGCCUUGUCCUGCCACACCUUUUCCCAGAAAGGAGCAGUGAAGGUGGGUCCUCCAGGCCUGCCUAGAAGGGCUGCAGAGAAGCAGCCAAUCAGAGUGAAGGAGGCUCAGUUAAAAGGAGAUAUGCAGGGCCUGAGCUGAUCCAUUGCUGGCUGGGACCAGAAGGGGGGAGAAGGAUUAGAAGGCUGUAGAAUUCCACUGGUAAAGAGGCCGGGAGAGACCCUGCUCAAGCAGGGGGAACAGACAGAAAACCCUGAGAUGGAAUGGAAAGUCUGAGAUGGCCUGGCCAUGAGCCGCCUCCCGGGAACCUUGGCAUGAGUUCAUUUUCCCAUUCCCAAACAGCAUCUAGAGGCCUGCUCUGUUUUUUGGAUUGGAGAAGAGCUAGAUAUUUCCUGCUGGGUCACUUCUAACCAUUGGAACUCGGCUGGACCAGGUUUAUGAAGUGAAACAGUGUAAAGAAAAUCAGGCAGAAAGGAGGAAAAGCCACCAAUGAGAAAACGUCGUUAGGGAAUAGGGGAAAAGGGGGAGUAGGGAUUUCUUCAGUGAGCUGCUGUCAUUUUGAAGAAUUUUGUUCGAACCAAACCAAGAAGCUGUCAGUGAUGUGUGGUUGAGGUCAUAGAAGUUCACAAUGGAUCAUUGCAAGCAGAUUAAAAUGACAUUUAUGAUGUUAAAGGCACAUUCCCCGAUUCACAUUUCCAGGGGAAAAUGUUCUGCCUAAGGCAAAUGUUGUGGUGAGGUGGCUAUUUGCAUUGUUAUCAGAAAUGUCAAGGAUUUGGGUGGUAGAAAUAUUUGCAAUUAAACGUUAAGCCGGGGUUGGAUGGCUUUUUAAAAAAACUAAUGCAAAAAUAGAAUCCAUUUUAUUGCAACAUAUGAUUUCUCAGAUUUAUUGCACAAAAGUAUACCACUCCAGUGAAAAUGAGCCAAUUUUCAAAUUAGAGGGGUUGCCUAUAGAUCAAAAGGGGGCUUUUAAAUAUGAAAUUUUGCAUUGUCAACAUUUCACAUGUCUCUGAUGCAAAAAUAACUGUAUUUUGUGUAACAGGAAAACCCAAAAUUUAAGGAGCACAGAGUCAUCCACAAUGAAAUGGCCAAAACAAAAAAUGGUGUGAAAAUCCAUGGAAAGUUUUUCACCAGUUUCACACACCUCUGAUGUUGGAGAAUUUUUUGUCGUUAAAGUGUGAAAGUGAAGGAAGUCUAAUGACACAAUGAGUGAGUGUGGAAUUUCAUUCAGAUAUUCCUCAGAACUGGGAUCCCUGCCUCAAUUUCCAGGCCUCCAUUCAUUCCCUCUGAACUGCCAGUCCUUGUAGCAAUUGUAGCUAUGUAAAUAUGAAGGAUAUUUUGUUCUGUCUUCUGUGCAUUACACAUUUAAAUGUAAAGAAUCUCCCUGUCUGCCUGGGAGUCAUUUCAAAAUGCCUUCCACCCAACUCAAAGGGUGGAAAAUUUGAUAGGAGGGAGACAUACUACUCUGCUGUCUGCUUCCCAUUAGCCAGUCAGAGGGAGAGGACAGCUAAUUGGCUCCUUGCUCCUCCCCAUUUACUAAUUUAAGCCCUUGCCAGGAUUUUUUUGCCACUGACAUCCAGUGCAGAUCAAAGGCCAAAAGGGCCAGUUCCCAGAAGUGAAAGAUCUGGGAUUUUGCUGAUGGAGCUUGGGCCUCUGAGAAAAGGGGUGAAUUGAAGUCUUUGCAGACUGAGGUCCCUUUUUUUGUCACCCUCGUGGGGGAGAGGGAAUUAUAGAUUAUAUAGUGGGAGCCUGUAACCCUGCCCUGGACCCAUUUAUAUGUCUGGUAGAAGGGAGACAGAGCAGAGUGCCCUUCCACAGUAUUGAGUUAAUAAAAUGCAGCCUGCCUCUUAAAUCCA